UUAUUAAAAUGCCAACAGAAUUCCAGAUGAGGACACUAUUGGUACCCAGCAGAGGCGCCAGAUAUUUAGAGUUAAUAAAGAUGCUUCAGGGCGAUCAACAAACAGCCAUCAGAGCAGCACUGAAAAUGAGUUGAAAUACUCAGAGCCACGACCCUGGAGCAGCACAGAUUCAGACAGCUCCCUCCGAAACCUGAAACCCGCUGUAACCAAAGCCAGCAGCUUUAGCGGAAUCUCGGUCCUGACAAGAGGUGAUAGUUCUGGAAGCAGCAAAAGCAUAGGCAGGCUUUCAAAAACAGGUAUAAGUGUCUACUUAGAACUGUGCAGUCACAGUGUUCCUCUGCCUGAAGUCUUAGCUCCUUAUCACAUGGUUCUAAUUAUCCCACAAUACAAAGUUACCUUCAGCUCUGUAGACACCUACAGAGCAGAGGAGAGAUUGCCAUCCUGACACUAGGACUCAUUUUGACCUGGAGAUAGAAUCAUAAACUGAAGUGCAUCUCCUUGUCUGCUGCUUUGUAAACUUAAUGUGAUUAGGAGGUGACUGGACACCCUUCGAUGCUCAUUUCUGGUUGGAAAGCAUUGCUUCUCGCCUAGGAUUGCAUAAUGUUAGAUGCAUCUCAUGCUGUCGGAUAUUGGUUGCGUUUUUCAUGACUUAUCCUAUAAGAAAUGAAUAAAAUUUUGAGAAAAUUUUAAGACCAAAGAAAAAUAAUAAAACAACUACUAUAAAUAG
This 727-nucleotide long non-coding RNA is filed under the name Rattus norvegicus (Norway rat). RNAcentral describes it as "long non-coding RNA NONRATT008175". The record is from RNAcentral. Lineage: Eukaryota; Metazoa; Chordata; Mammalia; Rodentia; Muridae.